RNAcentral lists this long non-coding RNA (1668 nucleotides) under Marmota monax (woodchuck). Lineage: Eukaryota; Metazoa; Chordata; Mammalia; Rodentia; Sciuridae. The record is from RNAcentral.
CAAAUCCCAUCACAGUCUAUGCCAGUGUGACCCUUCCAGAGAGCUGACACCACAGACCCAGGGAAGAGACUUUCCGAAGGAAAACGGAAGUACCAAAGACAAAAACACUGAACUUGGCCCCGGGCCCUGAGACAUUGUGCACAUCUGCACAAUGUUCGCAUCAACAGUGUGGUGGUGUUUCUUCACCCAUGCCUGUGAGUCAGGGAUGGAGGUGGGACUUCCCAGGUGGUCAGCCUGCUCUGCAGCCAACUCGGACACAGAACUGAGAGCUACUUGAUACAGUUUUCCAACUUUAGUGGAGAACGUGAGUCCAGACUUCCAGACUUCUCACUCUUCCACAGGAUGGACACUAAAAUCCAAAAACAGAAAGCCAGGACAUCUAGUACCUGUCUCAGAUGGCCGACCAACAGCCCCAAAGUCUGGAAAAGUUUACAUUUUGCUUGUUUGUCCUUUGUCCUGGGAACCGAUCCAGAUCACCUUCCAACCGGAUCAAGGCUCUGCACCUCAGUUUCUCUCUCUGAAGAGUGAAUUAUCUUAUACAUAAAACACUCUAAGACUGCUCUAUAAAAGAAGCUAAGAGAUUUGAUAUUUUAGAUGCAAAACCCAGGAGCUAAAAAAAAAAAAAAGUCAAUAAACUGAAAGAAAGACUUUAAGGUCUUGGAGCUUUGAACGGUAGAAUGGAAACCUUCUAAGGUUUUUAAAAGUAUAGUUUUGCACAAACAACAUUCCGUUGUUGUUGUUGUUGUUGUUGUUGUCGUUGUCAUUGUUUUUAAGUGUUGAGUGUUUAGUGAUUCUAAUAUAAAGUAACUUGAGAUACUCAGAGGAACUUGUUUGUCCCAAGGAGAUUUUUCACUUCCUAAAAUGAUUUUUUGUUUGUUUAUUGCUACUAGGGAUGGAACCCAGGAGCGAUUUAACUGAGCUAACUGAGCUACAUUCCCACCCCUUAUUUAUGUUUUGUUUUGAGAUAGGGUCUUCCUACAUUGCUUAGGACCUCACUAAGUUGCUGAGGCUAGCCUCAACCUUGCAAUCCUCUUGCCUCAGCCUCUCAAGCUGCUGGGAUCACAGGCAUGCACCACCCUACCUGGCUCUACAAUGAUUUUUUUAAUUGCUUUUAUUUUUUAAAUACAUGCAUGAUAGCAGAAUGCAACACAAUUCUCAUUACACAUAUGGAACACAAUUUUUCAUAUCUCUGUAUAUAAAGUAUGUUCACACCAAUUCAUGUCUUCAUACAUGUACUUUGGAUAAGGAUGUCCAUCACAUUCCACCACCAUUGUCUAAAAUGAUUUUUAAAUAAAUGGAUUCCUUAGUUUCUGUUUACUCCCUUGAGUGACAAAUUGGGAGCCUCAGCUAAGACUCUCUGCUGGUUCUGAACCCAUUUACAUCCCAGGCCUCAUAUGAAAUUGGAGGUCAGAGUUACUACAGGGCACUUCUACUUCCUGAAUACCUCUUUUCUUACUAAAUUUACCUUCAAGUGGAGAAUUAAAUUAUUUUGACCCAACAGUUUCAAAUAACUGGAUGCUCAAUCACUUCGAUUCCGGGCUGCAAACACAAAGAGCCUCUUUCAGUAAACUCCUGGUUUCUUCCUAUUCUCUCCUUUUAGACAGGCCAUCUUUCAAAUUAAGGGCUUCUUUUUCUUAUGGGUUCUUGUAUGACCUUGUUGAAUAAUUU